RNAcentral lists this ribosomal RNA (433 nucleotides) under uncultured bacterium. Its description in RNAcentral is "partial 16S ribosomal RNA". It matches the Rfam family "Bacterial small subunit ribosomal RNA", at positions 29 to 507 of the family's 1533-position model. The record is from RNAcentral.
AACGAACGCUGGCGGCAUGCCUAAUACAUGCCAGUCGAACGAGAACAUCGGGUCGAGUGGCGCACGGGUGCGUAAGGCGUGGGAACCUGCCCUUAGGUUCGGAAUAACUCCCCGAAAGGGAUGCUAAUACCGGAUAAUGUCUUCGGACCAAAGAUUUAUCGCGUUUGGAUGGGCCCGGGUGGGAUUAGCUAGUUGGUAGGGUAAAAGCCUACCAAGGCGACGAUCCAUAGCUGGUCUGAGAGGAUGAUCAGCCACACUGGGACUGGGACACGGCCCAGACUCCUACGGGAGGCAGCAGUGGGGAAUAUUGGACAAUGGGCGAAAGCCUGAUCCAGCAAUGCCGGGUGAGUGAUGAAGGCCUUAGGGUUGUAAAGCUCUUUUACCCGGGAUGAUAAUGACAGUACCGGGAGAAUAAGCUCCGGCUAACUCCGUG